Molecule: ribosomal RNA, 253 nt
Filed under: uncultured bacterium
Lineage: Bacteria
Description: partial 16S ribosomal RNA
Rfam family: Bacterial small subunit ribosomal RNA
Source: RNAcentral
UACGUAAGGUGCAAGCGUUGUUCGGAAUGACUGGGCGUAAAGCGCACGUAGGCGGGUCUGUAAGUCAGAUGUGAAAUCCCCGGGCUUAACCUGGGAACUGCAUCUGAAACUACAAAUCUUGAAUACCUCAGAGGUUGGUGGAAUUCCUGGUGUAGGAGUGAAAUCCGUAGAGAUCAGGAGGAACAUCGGAGGCGAAGGCGGCCAACUGGGAGAGUAUUGACGCUGAGGUGCGAAAGCGUGGGGAGCAAACAGG